Long non-coding RNA from Phyllostomus discolor (pale spear-nosed bat), 153 nucleotides. RefSeq lists it as uncharacterized. NCBI's taxonomy places the organism in Eukaryota, Metazoa, Chordata, Mammalia, Chiroptera, Phyllostomidae. The transcript is spliced from 2 exons. The record is from RefSeq and is a predicted model, not a curated record.
GCCGUGGGACACAGGCAUGGGGGAGGCGGCUCCCUUUCCACAUCCCCCCGUUCAUCUCGUUUAUUCCUCCCCACAGGUAGCUGCCUCCACCCUGAAAAGUCAGAAGAGAAGUGUACCACCUCCCCUGCUCUUGUCAGCUGCUGGCUCUCAGAA